CAGAUUCCUGCAAAAUAUUUGUAUAUAACUUCCUCAAAUGUACCGAGACAUCUCACAAAGAAUCAUUGUCAGUAUCUCAGAGAAGGAAAAAAAAAAAAAAAAAAGGCGAUAGCGAUCUCUUCGAUUUCUCCAUUCUACUUGCAUGUGCUUGGAUACAGCCCAGAUUUCUGAAAGAGCUCAAAAUGUCAGCCAGAAUACAUUGAGUCCAUAGAAGAGGCAAUUAUUAAAUGUCCUUCUCUUUACCAAGAUAAGCUAUUGGAUGUUAUUUCUAACUGUAUGUGAACUGCCUUUGAAUAGUUGUUUUCUUGCUUUUCCUUUCUGUUCAUAUAUAUCUAUUGAAUGAACAAGCAAGUUGAAAACGUAUUUAAGACAUUAUUUUUUUGUCAAGCAUUGUGCUAAGUACUAGGGAUAGAGAUAUAAGAAAAAAAGCCGCUUGGGGCUCUCAAGGAACUUGCCUGCUAAAAGGGAUAGAGAAUAGAUAUUGGUGGGUGAUAUUUUGCUGUGAGAAGUCACAGGGAAGGUGAGUGGAAUGAUCCAGGAGUUGACGGACUUCUUUCCAGUAGCAAUGGCUCUGGUUGCUCUGGUUAUACUUCUAAAUCUGGGGAACUAGCUGGGGAGGAGUAGGAAUGAGGAGGAGAGGAAGGAGGAAGAGAGAAAAGAGUGACAUAACAGAAACAGAUGAUAAAGACAAGAUGGCCAAGGUGGGAUUUGGACCACAUAGAGCAUUCACUGAGUAGAAUGGGGUGGAUCUCAAGUCCAUGGUUCCAGAUCCAAGUACCUGGGGAAUGUUCUGUGGUCUGGGGAUUACAGGAGGCAGACUAUAUGGGAGGCAAUUUGAAGGGUAGGAUGCAGGCAAGAUGGGACACUUGCUGUCCAGCUGUGUUUCUGGAGGGUGUCCAAAAAGUUCUAAAACAGCUCAACUCAAUGGUAGAAAGAUGUCAGUCUCUUAAAAUUCUUUGUCAUCAGGGAAACUUUAAAUCCACAUUGAUAUUCAGUUCUAUUUAAGUGGACAAAAUAAAAAUCGAGAAAUUGGGAGCAAAUCUAUUGCAUGGACUAGGUUGAGCACAGAAAACACAGUACAUUUAAGCAGUCCCCGAAUUUGUUAUGGAGUGCUCUGAGUCCCCAGUAAAAAUGAUUUGGCUUUGCUUAUCUGGUCAAGAAUACACGAUUAUCGAUAAGAGACUCCAACGGCCAAAGAUAAUUUCUCUUUAAAGAUAACUCAUCUGUGAAAUGAGGCAGUUAGGCAAGGUAAUCUCUAUGUCCCUUCCAGUUGGAACGUUUUCUGAGAUUUUCUAGGCGGAUUCCAAGUCCGCCUAUCAAACUGCUUGGUCUAUUCUGCAGGAUGUUCCUCUUCCAACAGCGAAUUCUGCAGGUUCAAUCCAGACCUUCAAGAACCACAGCUUCUUGGGCCCUGCUACCCUCUGACUAUAAUCCUGCCCGUGAAAGAAGUCUUCGGGGGGUGAUGCACCUGUUUUGCUGCUGAUAUUGGCAAUGACAGAGCUAUCAUUACGAGCUUCACUGUGUAGGAGCUGAGACUAACAAGGAGCUAGUCUUGUUUCAAAGUCACACUUUGUACUCGGCUGUCUCACUCAAGCAUGAAGAAUGAUUCAUGAACAGGGAAUCGGCUGGAAAGGAUCACUGACUCCAGAACUGGCACAACGGUCCUGGGAUCAUCAAAGACAGUGUUCCAACUCUUCUGCUAUGUUGUGGAGAGAUUUCUGACCCAAAUAUCUUAGAGUUGUCUGCCAAAGGGCC
Sarcophilus harrisii (Tasmanian devil) is the source of this 1755-nucleotide long non-coding RNA. RefSeq lists it as uncharacterized. The record is from RefSeq and is a predicted model, not a curated record. Lineage: Eukaryota; Metazoa; Chordata; Mammalia; Dasyuromorphia; Dasyuridae. The transcript has 3 exons.